This 253-nucleotide ribosomal RNA is filed under the name uncultured bacterium. RNAcentral's name for it is "partial 16S ribosomal RNA". It matches the Rfam family "Bacterial small subunit ribosomal RNA", at positions 524 to 776 of the family's 1533-position model. The record is from RNAcentral.
UACGAAGGGGGCGAGCGUUGUUCGGAAUUACUGGGCGUAAAGGGCGCGUAGGCGGCGACGCAAGUCAGAUGUGAAAGUCCUGGGCUUAACCUGGGGACUGCAUUUGAUACUGGGUUGCUUGAAUUCGGGAGAGGAUAGCGGAAUUCCCAGUGUAGAGGUGAAAUUCGUAGAUAUUGGGAAGAACACCGGUGGCGAAGGCGGCUAUCUGGACCGACAUUGACGCUGAGGCGCGAAAGCGUGGGGAGCAAACAGG